GACGAACGCUGGCGGCGUGCUUAACACAUGCAAGUCGAACGGAAAGGCCCUGCUUGCAGGGUACUCGAGUGGCGAACGGGUGAGUAACACGUGGGUGAUCUGCCCUGCACUUCGGGAUAAGCCCGGGAAACUGGGUCUAAUACCGGAUAGGAGCCAUUUUUAGUGUGAUGGUUGGAAAGUUUUUUCGGUGUAGGAUGAGCUCGCGGCCUAUCAGCUUGUUGGUGGGGUAAUGGCCUACCAAGGCGGCGACGGGUAGCCGGCCUGAGAGGGUGGACGGCCACAUUGGGACUGAGAUACGGCCCAGACUCCUACGGGAGGCAGCAGUGGGGAAUAUUGCACAAUGGGCGCAAGCCUGAUGCAGCGACGCCGCGUGGGGGAUGACGGCCUUCGGGUUGUAAACUCCUUUCGCUAGGGACGAAGCUUUUUGUGACGGUACCUAGAUAAGAAGCACCGGCUAACUACGUG
This 465-nucleotide ribosomal RNA is filed under the name uncultured bacterium. RNAcentral describes it as "partial 16S ribosomal RNA". It matches the Rfam family "Bacterial small subunit ribosomal RNA", at positions 28 to 507 of the family's 1533-position model. The record is from RNAcentral.